RNAcentral lists this long non-coding RNA (296 nucleotides) under Homo sapiens (human). RNAcentral describes it as "HSALNT0118191". Lineage: Eukaryota; Metazoa; Chordata; Mammalia; Primates; Hominidae. The record is from RNAcentral.
CCGAUUUACCCUCUGGUGUGGAAAGAAUGGCUGUAACUUAAAUUACUGAGUUUUCUUUUACUCACCUUAGGACUAUAAAUCCAUCCUACUUCAGCUAAAAGUGGUUUAGUGAAAUCCUACUCCUUUUGUCAUGUGGAAGCUUGCAGCUGUGUUAACGAAUUGUUCUUAGUAUUUCCUUUUGAACAUUUUCCUCUCUCAAGGAAAAUGUUUGAGAAGGUGGCUAGAGGGGAAUAAAACUUACCAGCAGGCCCAAGUGUGCCCGUGACAGGAACUCUUCUCCGCCACUUGAGUUGAAC